AAAAACGGAAAAUGGAUGAAAACACGGGAAAGAUGCCCAAAUUAAGAACAACUAUCUCUUUCUCUUUACUCUCGGUUUGCUCAGAUUGAAGAAUCAGAAAAGCUCCAUCUGAAUCUCAUAUCCUCUUCCUCGAGUUCCAACUUAAUACAAUCUUCAAAUCUAGUUAUGUCUUUCUUGCUUUCCAGGUGGUAUUCCGAGCAUGUUUUCUUGUUUUACCCCUCCUUUUUCCUUCAAUUUACAGGUCUGUUACCCUUCCCCAAUUCGUUGUUUGAUCGGUGCUAAUCAGUAAGCAAUCUCCCUGUUCUUUUUGUAAUCUUUUUUUUUUAUUAUUAUUAUUUCUUCUUUUUCGGUUAGAUGCAUAAAAUGGGAAAUUGAAUUUCUUUUUUGUUGUUUCUCCAUUUUUUAUUUGUUAUAGACAACAGAAAAAAGUUGGAAUUGAUUCUCUUCAUGGGUAUGUGAUGUCUUAUGUUAAUCUGACUUCCAUUAUAUGAUUGCAUCUAUUUAUUUGUGAUAUAAGAAACGUGGGUUCUCUUUGUUUAUAUCCAAAAGCUUGAAAAUUGGUAAAGAAAAAGAUACAUGCAAUCUUUUGCUAUGAUGUGAGCUGUGUUUGAUCAGGGGCUCUUCGAUAGGUCAUAGACUUAUGGAGCUGCUUUUAUAGUCACUUGUGUGUAUGUGCCUAACUGAUUUUCAUGAUUUUGGAUUUUUGGAGGAGUAUGGGCUGAUUUAUUAUUAGGUCUUUGAUUUAGUGUAUAAGUCAUACGCUUCAUUCAGUGUAUAAGUCAUAUGCUUCAUUUGAUUCAGUGUAUAAUCACUUAUUGCUGCAGAAGGUAUUGAUUAGAACCUGGAUAUUCAUAUCUCCUUAAAGAGGUAGUGAGCAAAAAGAUAACCAGGAUAGGCAGGGCAUUUUUAUUUUGUUUAAUCAAGGGAACACCCAAUGAGGAGUUUCAAUCAGUAAGAGGAAGUCCAACUCGAGAAUGAAUUAUCCAAUCAUACUUCUGUGGUGAUUAACUGAUUAUAACAAGUUCUGGCAACUUAAAGACAAAAAUAGUGCGCUCUUCAUAAACUAACCAGCCAAAAUUCCUUUUCCCUACUAUAUAAAAAGGGGAAUGUGAGGGCACUGUAGAAAGUAAUAGUGUCUUGAUCCAUCUUUACUAUAACAUUUUUGUUUUAUUUUUUUUUUCAAUUUGGGGGCCAAAACGACGUCGUUUGCUUGAUAUAUAUUUUAUUUUAUUGUACACUACCUCCAAAUUUACCGCAACACGCAAUUUUCAUUCCUCCCCACUCCGAUAUAGAUAUGUAUAGUAGAGAUAUAAGAAAAAUAUCACUUUUAUAUUAUAUUAAAAAAAAAAAGAGAUAAUAUGCGACAGAAAUUUUUUUUACAACAUAUUACUUGUAAAUAAAAAAUUUGAAUAGAAAAAAAUUAAAGAAAAUUUUAAAUUGAAAAAAAAAUUAUAACUAAAACUACACAUCAAAAAAAAAAAGAAUCUCUCCGUGCACGGAGGGGAAAAGAAAAAAGGUAAUUUGUUGGAGCCUCCGUGCACGGAGACACUCAAUGCAUGGAGACAAAGUUUAUAUAUAUAUAUAUAUAUAUUUAUUUAUUUAUUUAUUUAUUAUAAGUAAUUGUUCUUUUUGUCAAUUUAUUUAAAUUUCUUUUUUAUUCUUUUCUCUUUUAAAUAAAACUUAAUUUUUCAAUUUUAACAAAAUAAUAUUUAUAUAUAUAUUUUUAAAUUUUUGUAAUUUUUUUAUUUUGUUUAUUUUAUUUUUUUUUAAAUUAUAUUUAGAAUUGAGCGUGGAAAUAACAUAAUAGAAAUGCAUGAAAAUAAUUAGAAGAAAGUAAAGAGGUUUAUAGACGUGUCAAACUUCCACCAACAUGAUCUUUUUUGUAGACGAUGAAAGUUGGGGGUUCACUGUUCAAAAGUUUGAAAACACAUGUAUCGCUUAUUUGUAGUACUUUUUCUCUAAAAAAAUCUGCCCAACCUAUAGUCAUACGUCUUAUUAGACCAUUUGGUCGCAAAUUUGUGACAGUCUCCCAGUCGUGAUGUAAAGAAUCAUGGAUUUGAACACUUCGCACACCUCUUGGUAGGUGAUAUCUAGAGAACUGUCCUAGUAUAUCCUGGAAAAUCAUGAAUGAAUAAAUUAUUGAUUUUUGAAUCAAAUUUAUGUGGAAGAGAUGAAUGUAGAAUGAGAUAUUAAAGAUGACACUUACAAUUUUUCGAUAGCUGUUGUAAUGAGGCGUUAGUGUUAUUUCAAACACAGGGUUAUCUGUAUGUGAAGCGUUGUAUUCUUCGGAAACAUCGGAGUCAUAUGUGACCUCUAAUCCAGAAUGGUCAAAUAUGGUCAUAUUGAAUGUGGAGUUUCUAUUAUAUUCAAAUACCAAAACAUGAGCAUCCUGUAAGUUAUGAUGGUCAAAAAAUUGUUCUCAUCCAUCAGCAAAAUAUAUUCUUCCAUUAUCUUUUUCCAAUCGUAUUGUGACAAUUAUACCAUCAUAUGCAGUUACUCGUACUGUGUCACGAAAUUGGUGUCUCCAAUUGUUGACAAAGGAUCUCGGAAGCAUCUAUACAUAUACAUUAAAAAGUAUAAGAGAGAUAUUAAGAAUGCAUCCAUUCAAAUGUGAGAGGAGAAACUCGUAUGUGACUAACCAGACGAGUAUUAUGGUUUUGUGGAGGAGUAAUGAUUCUGAAGAAACGAUGUGGCACCUCUAUUCUGUCUCAAUAUAGUACAAUGAAAAUUUUGUUAGAAUAACUCUAUUAUUUACGUUGUGGAGGUCUAAUAUAGAUUUUAAGGUAGAUUUUGCAGUAUAGGCGAGUUAGAAAGUUUGUUAAUAAAAGUUUCAUGUCUGUAAGAUAAACUUUGUAUGUGAUGUAAAAAAUAUAUAUUCUAUAUGUCAUUGUAGAACAAUAUCGUGAAGUUUGGUGAGAAAUUCAUGAUUUGUGUUCGAUUUUUAAUAGAAGAAUUGAAGAUUGACAUUUAGUCCAUCUCAAUAAACAAGAUGUAAGUUAAAACUGUAAAAUUUAGUGUUGAAAAAAUAGCUAUUGUAAUCAGGAAAGAGUAGAUAGACACCUAAUUUUCUUUUUGUUGAGCAUCUAUAAGCAAAGAUAUGUAAAUAUUUUAUGUGAGGAGUGAUUUAAGGUAAAUUUUGAAAACAUGAGAAGCUAUUUAAAUUAGAGGAUAUGUACUUCCUAUGUUUUUUCCUUUUCUCCAGAUUUGACAAGAGGUUCACGGGUGAUAGAAAUGGACAAUAUGUUACCGAAAAAAGCCUGAUCUUACUCUUCCCAAAAAUAAAAGUGAGGAGAAAGAAAUUAUUGAAGUAUCACACGUUUCACACAUUAUUUGAUUGCAAUCAAAAUGUUACGAUUGAAGCAACAAAAUAAUAUUUAUAUAUGUAUUUUUAAAUUUUUAUAAUUUUUUUAUUUUGUUUAUUUUAUAUAUUUUUUAAAUUUAUUUAAAAAAAUUAUUUUUUUUUCAAGUGGGGAGCAAAAACUACGCCGUGCAUAGAGUACAUUGUUUUUUUUUUUUGUAGUUUUUUUUUUGGGCCUCCGUGCAUGGAC
This 3548-nucleotide long non-coding RNA is filed under the name Olea europaea (common olive). Its description in RNAcentral is "long non-coding RNA (OEUR_LNC004213)". The record is from RNAcentral. Lineage: Eukaryota; Viridiplantae; Streptophyta; Magnoliopsida; Lamiales; Oleaceae.